RNAcentral lists this ribosomal RNA (429 nucleotides) under Contracaecum rudolphii. Its description in RNAcentral is "partial small subunit ribosomal RNA". Lineage: Eukaryota; Metazoa; Nematoda; Chromadorea; Rhabditida; Anisakidae. The record is from RNAcentral.
AAUUUUUGGAGUGUACUUUUGAUUUUAUGGUGAAAUUGAAGAUUUUUGUGUGUGUGUGUUUAAGAUUAUAAGAUUUAGUGAACGAACCAGAUUAGUACCUGGUUAGAUAAAAAUUAAAAGAGCAGGAGUAAAGUUGAGUUUAAACUGUAAUAAUAUUGGCAGGCUUUUAAAUUAUCUUUGGAGGCUGAGUAGUAAUUGAGAGCCCUCAUUUACAACUCUUAUUUUGGGCUCAUGUAUGAUCGUUUAUUUUAUUCUUAAGGAUUGUAAUUUUAGUUUUUAUCUGUUAAAAUAGAUAUAUACUUGGUUUAUAUAGGAGGUUAAUUUGGCCUACAAUGUUGUAUUUUUUGGAUAGUGCUGGCAGUUGGUACUUGAAAUUGUAAAAGACAGUAAAGCCCCUUUAAUGGGGGAUUGAAGUUUAUUUAAAAGCGG